UCAAUUUAAUAUUAUCAACCCAUCAUUAGUAUUGAAUAAAUUCAUAAAUUAUGAAAAAUAUUAUGCUAGAACUAGUAACAAGAAAGUGAAUUUCUCCAAAAUGUAAACAUAAACCAAAAUGGACAACCCAUUGGUGAUUAACGACUUUGUACUUAUUAUAGUAAAACAACUAGAAAACUCUAUAUUUUAUGCCGUUAACCUUACACAAGAACUCUUCUGGAAAGAUUAAAAGGAAAAGAAGGAACUCGGCAAAUUUUAACCCCGCCUGUUUACCAAAAACAUCGCCUUUUGCACAAAUAUAAAAGGUCCAGCCUGCCCAGUGUUUUUAAUCAACGGCCGCGUGAUUUAAGCGCGCUAAGGUAGCGUAAUAAUUUGUUCUUUAAAUAAGGACUUGUAUCAAUGGCAUCACGAGGGUUAUACUGUCUCCUCUCCCCAAUCAGUGAAACUAAUCUCCCUGUGAAAAAGCAGGGGUAAGACUAUAAGACGAGAAGACCCCAUGGAGCUUAAAAUACAGCAGCAACUAUAAUAAUAAUAUCAAUACAAUUUUUAGCCAUGUAUGCCAAUUUUAGGUUGGGGUGACCAUGGAGCAAAACAAAGCCUCCACGACGAAAAGAGUAUACACCCUUAUCCAAGAGAUACCCCUCUAAGAAUUAUUAAAAUAACGUCCAAUGAUCCGACUAUCGACCAACGGACCAAGUUACCCUGGGGAUAACAGCGCAAUCCACUCUGAAAGCUCCUAUCGACGAGUGGGCUUACGACCUCGAUGUUGGAUCAGGAUAUCCCAGUGGUGCAGCCGCUACUAAA
Molecule: ribosomal RNA, 804 nt
Filed under: Occidozyga cf. laevis KU 328668
Lineage: Eukaryota; Metazoa; Chordata; Amphibia; Anura; Dicroglossidae
Description: partial large subunit ribosomal RNA
Rfam family: Bacterial large subunit ribosomal RNA
Source: RNAcentral